CUGGAAUCGAGGCUCUUGAAAAAAAAAGCUUGUGAGGCUAAAAAGAGGACUUCUAAGGUAGGUUGAAGGUCUUUAGAGAGGAAGAAAACUUGCACCGAGGCCCUUGCAGAAGUGAAGCGCUUGAGGGAGAAUAUCAAACAAACUAAUAAAGCAUAUACCUUGGAGAAGGCUCAAUUAAACAAAUCAUGCGCAAAAUUGAAUAUGGCUAUCGAGGAAGUGAAGUGGAG
RNAcentral lists this long non-coding RNA (227 nucleotides) under Elaeis guineensis (African oil palm). RNAcentral's name for it is "long non-coding RNA (EGUI_LNC021749)". Lineage: Eukaryota; Viridiplantae; Streptophyta; Magnoliopsida; Arecales; Arecaceae. The record is from RNAcentral.